Molecule: non-coding RNA, 938 nt
Organism: Oryzias latipes (Japanese medaka)
Lineage: Eukaryota; Metazoa; Chordata; Actinopteri; Beloniformes; Adrianichthyidae
Source: RefSeq, a predicted model, not a curated record
GGCUCAAAUAUGUAAAAACAUCUAUAUCAUGACAACAAACACUAAUUUACAACUAAUAGAAUACAAAACCCUCCACAGAAUUCACUACACAAGAGACAAAAUGUCAAGAAUGGGAUUUGAAUCAGAGAUCUGCCCAUAUGUCCCUCACACUGUAAACCCGAAUAGUCCAAUGAGCUCAAAAGUUUUAUAAUCACUGAACUCAAAAGUAACAAACAAGUUGAGUCAGCUUAAAACCUAUAAGCCGAUUGAACUUUUGCCACAGUUAUAUCUUUAUUGGACUAAAACAUUUUGAGUAAAUGAAACCUUGGAGUCAAAACUUAUGAGUAAUGAGACGUGAUGACGUCGUAACGUACACCCAUGAACGUGAACUCAGCCACAGAAGUCUUCAAGAUGGCGGAGGUCUGAUGCGAGUGUCAGCUGGCCCAAGUUGAUAACGCACAUACGUCUAGAUGUGAGCUGAGUUUCAUCGCAUCACAAAUGUCAAACUGUUAAAACAGUUUUAUUUUGACCUGGACAGACAGACGCAGAGGAUGCUGAUCUUUUUGAGACAGAAGGCAGCACGAACCGGAAGGCUCUAUGCGACUUUCUGCACCUCUAUGAUAAACAGCAAGAGCAGACUGCUGAUGUCAAAGGUACUCCUGUCCUGCACUGGCUUCCCAUAUACAAACGUGAGGAGGACCCACAGUUCUUCAAAGUUUGGAAUAUUAAAGAGUCACUAGAGGCAGACAUCAGCUGCUCCUCUGUUGGCAUUCUGACCGUCAGCAACAACAAUACAAGUUCAGUUCAUUUCUGUCCGCUCAGUACAGCAGUUGUGGUGGAAGAUGAGCUUGUGGUAGGCAAAUUUCCUAAAUGGGUAUUUUUUUGAGCGCUAAUGUUUAUAGGGAAAUGGCAGCCUAAGAAAAUACUGUUUUAUGUGGGAAAAGUAUAAAAAAAAAAAA